RNAcentral lists this ribosomal RNA (660 nucleotides) under uncultured bacterium. RNAcentral's name for it is "bacterial SSU rRNA". It matches the Rfam family "Bacterial small subunit ribosomal RNA", at positions 239 to 896 of the family's 1533-position model. The record is from RNAcentral.
CAUUAGCUAGACGGCGGGGUAACGGCCCACCGUGGCGACGAUGUCUAGGGGUUCUGAGAGGAAGGUCCCCCACACUGGAACUGAGACACGGACCAGACUCCUACGGGAGGCAGCAGUGAGGAAUAUUGGUCAAUGGGCGCGAGCCUGAACCAGCCAAGUCGCGUGAGGGAAGACGGUCCUAUGGAUUGUAAACCUCUUUUGUCGGGGAGCAAAAGACGUCACGUGUGGCGUUCCGAGAGUACCCGAAGAAAAAGCAUCGGCUAACUCCGUGCCAGCAGCCGCGGUAAUACGGAGGAUGCGAGCGUUAUCCGGAUUUAUUGGGUUUAAAGGGUGCGCAGGCGGAAGAUCAAGUCAGCGGUAAAAUUGAGAGGCUCAACCUCUUCGAGCCGUUGAAACUGGUUUUCUUGAGUGAGCGAGAAGUAUGCGGAAUGCGUGGUGUAGCGGUGAAAUGCAUAGAUAUCACGCAGAACUCCGAUUGCGAAGGCAGCAUACCGGCGCUCAACUGACGCUCAUGCACGAAAGUGUGGGUAUCGAACAGGAUUAGAUACCCUGGUAGUCCACACAGUAAACGAUGAAUACUAAUUGUUCGGGGAGAAUGAUCCCUGAGUGAUACAGCGAAAGCGUUAAGUAUUCCACCUGGGGAGUACGCCGGCAACGGUG